CACUACACUUGUGUGUAGUGCUAUUUUUGAGGACUGAGUUAUAUAGAAACAAGUAGAUUAAGCCUUAAUGAUUUUAUUAACUUUUAGUAUUGUCUCUCAUAGAAAUGUUAGUUUUAAGUUACAAUUUUCAAAACUAGCAAUACUAAACCUAAUAAAAAAUGACUCUGCAACAUUUCUGAAGUCCUGCCUAGUCACUACUGGAAAAAUAGAUUUUGAUAUAACAAUUAUUCUAACAUUAAAAACAAUAAAUAGCCAGAACUUGAUGGUUGUUAACAAAAUCAUGAACAUGUGUCAGAAUAAAAAUGGCAAAAGUUAAUAUAUGAAUAACUAUACAGGUAUCCUUCCUAUAACAAGGUAGAUGGAUUCCUGAAAAACAGUAUGUUAUGUGAAACCAUGUUAUAUGAGACCUGGAGUCAAUACAAAAAAGGAAGUUAUGCUCU
RNAcentral lists this long non-coding RNA (440 nucleotides) under Androctonus crassicauda. The record is from RNAcentral. Lineage: Eukaryota; Metazoa; Arthropoda; Arachnida; Scorpiones; Buthidae.